RNAcentral lists this ribosomal RNA (542 nucleotides) under Pseudomonas sp. RNAcentral's name for it is "bacterial SSU rRNA". It matches the Rfam family "Bacterial small subunit ribosomal RNA", at positions 60 to 597 of the family's 1533-position model. Lineage: Bacteria; Pseudomonadati; Pseudomonadota; Gammaproteobacteria; Pseudomonadales; Pseudomonadaceae. The record is from RNAcentral.
AGUCGAGCGGAUGACAGGAGCUUGCUCCUGAAUUCAGCGGCGGACGGGUGAGUAAUGCCUAGGAAUCUGCCUGGUAGUGGGGGACAACGUUUCGAAAGGAACGCUAAUACCGCAUACGUCCUACGGGAGAAAGCAGGGGACCUUCGGGCCUUGCGCUAUCAGAUGAGCCUAGGUCGGAUUAGCUAGUUGGUGAGGUAAUGGCUCACCAAGGCGACGAUCCGUAACUGGUCUGAGAGGAUGAUCAGUCACACUGGAACUGAGACACGGUCCAGACUCCUACGGGAGGCAGCAGUGGGGAAUAUUGGACAAUGGGCGAAAGCCUGAUCCAGCCAUGCCGCGUGUGUGAAGAAGGUCUUCGGAUUGUAAAGCACUUUAAGUUGGGAGGAAGGGCAGUAAAUUAAUACUUUGCUGUUUUGACGUUACCGACAGAAUAAGCACCGGCUAACUCUGUGCCAGCAGCCGCGGUAAUACAGAGGGUGCAAGCGUUAAUCGGAAUUACUGGGCGUAAAGCGCGCGUAGGUGGUUCGUUAAGUUGGAUGUGA